AUACGGAGGAUGCGAGCGUUAUCCGGAUUUAUUGGGUUUAAAGGGUGCGCAGGCGGCCAUUUAAGUCAGCGGUUAAAUCGUGGGGCUCAACCCCAUUCUGCCGUUGAUACUGGGUGGCUUGAUUGCGGUCGAGGUUGGCGGAAUUCGUUGUGUAGCGGUGAAAUGCAUAGAUAUGACGAAGAACACCGAUUGCGUAGGCAGCUGACCAGACCGCAAAUGACGCUCAUGCACGAAAGUGCGGGGAUCGAACAGGAUUAGAUACCCUGGUAGUCCGCACAGUAAACGAUGAAUACUUGUUUUCGGCGAUAUAAUGUCGGAGGCAAGGCGAAAGCGAUAAGUAUUCCACCUGGGGAGUACGCCGGCAACGGUGAAACUCAAAUGAAUUGACGGGG
This 392-nucleotide ribosomal RNA is filed under the name uncultured bacterium. RNAcentral's name for it is "partial 16S ribosomal RNA". It matches the Rfam family "Bacterial small subunit ribosomal RNA", at positions 523 to 918 of the family's 1533-position model. The record is from RNAcentral.